Anolis carolinensis (green anole) is the source of this 6887-nucleotide long non-coding RNA. RefSeq lists it as uncharacterized. The record is from RefSeq and is a predicted model, not a curated record. The transcript is spliced from 2 exons. Lineage: Eukaryota; Metazoa; Chordata; Lepidosauria; Squamata; Anolidae.
UGCAGUUUCCACGCUGAUUUCUCUCUAUUGUAGUUUCAAUGUAGUCAUGAAUAAUGAAUAAUAUAAUAAUAUAAUAGUAAUAAUAUAAUAAUAUACUACAAUAAUAAUAGAAUAAUAAUAGAAUGAUAUAUAUAUAUACAGUAGAGUCUCACUUAUCCAACAUUCUGGAUUAUCCAACGCAUUUUUGUAGUCAAUGUUUUCAAUACAUCGUGAUAUUUUGGUGCUAAAUUCGUAAAUACAGUAAUUACUACAUAGCAUUACUGCUUAAUGAACUACUUUUUCUGCCAAAUUUGUUGUAUAACAUGAUGUAUUGGUGCUUAAUUUGUAAAUUCAUAACCUAAUUUGAUGUUUAAUAGGCUUUUCCUUAAUGCCUCCUUAUUAUCCAACAUAUUCGCUUAUCCAACAUUCUGCCGGCCUGUUUAUGUUGGAUAAAUGAGACUCUACUGUAUGUGUGUGUGUGUGUGUGUGUGUAUAUAUAUAUAUAUAAAUGUAACAUGCAUAAUUCCCAUGGAGUAAACAACAAAACCACUGGACCAAAUCACAUCAAAUUUGGCCACAAAAGACAUUAGUCAUCCAAUCAAUCUGCAUGCGGCAGCGUGUCAGCAAAAAUGGCUAGGCGUGUCAGUGCUGACACGCGUGUCAUAGGUUGGCCAUCACUGAUCUAGAUGUUUGUUAUUUUUCCUUUCUUAUUUUUCCUUAGAAACCAGUCUAGAGUAGACUCGACAGCUCCCAAACCUUUCUAUCUACAAUGGAAUUCUUUUUACCUGAAUAAAUGCUUUUUGAACUUUUACUGAGACUCUGCAAUCGAUUGCCAUCCUAACUGAAAAAGGCUUCUCUUUGUGUGUAAGCAUCUGCUGUGUUUGAAAGUCUACUUUUGCUACUCUGCUACAUUUUUGGUGGAAUCUCCCCCAGAGAGGGUUAAAUUGAGUCUAACCGCUCAGAGAUUACCACAACAUCCAAAACCCAGCAAAAUCCAAUGUGGUCUCCAGCAUCGUAGUCCAAUGCCCAAACCAUAUGCCAAACAUUUAGUUUUUGAUGGUUUGAUGGCAACUUCCCAUCCAACAUUGAUGGGAUCUCCCAGUCAGCAUGGUCAUUCUUGAAGCUAUGGUCUGAUAAAAGAAAGUUUCCCCAUGUUUGUAUGUUUCAUGUCCUCAGCUCCAGUUUUCUUAGCGUCAGACAGCCUUGGAUUUAUGAGACUCCCCGGGGCCUAAUGGGUUUUUCAGAUGCCAGGAGCUGCUCUCAGGUUGCCUGCCUGGAGCUGAGCGGGCGGACAGUGUUUAUAAACAGAAGCGGGGUGGUUAAGAUAAGAAAAGAUAAGAAUGGUAAUUAAAUUUAAGAACAAGGAAGUCAUUCGAGGUGGGUUUAAAGGCUUCGCCAGAUGUCCAGGUUUCAGUGUCAGAAUUCCAGUGUCGCUACUGGGCAUGCGAGAGAGAAAAGUCAAAUUUCAUUAACAUUGUUCAGUGAUGAGUCACUAUGUAUAUAGCAACUUCAGAGUUCAUCAUCUUUUUCCCCCUCUCCACAGUUAUAAAUGAGCUGAUCUUGUGCAGAAGGCUGAUCCAUAGCACAGUUGAUCAAUGGGACCAAGAAUUCCUGUUAACAUCUCACUGUUUUCAGUAGAGUAGAGACAGUAGAGUCUCACUUAUCCAACACUUGCUUAUCCAACUUUCUGGAUUAUCCAACACAUUUUUGUAGUCAAUGUUUUCAAUACAUCAUGAUAUUUUGGUGCUAAAUUCGUAAAUACAGUAAUUACUACAUAGCAUUACUGCGUAUUGAACUACCUUUUCUGUGAAAUUUGUUGUAUAACAUGAUGUUUUGGUGCUUUUAGGCACUACAUCCAGUGUGCCAAUCACCACUGGGACCACCUUGACUGGCUUGUGCCAGAGUCUUUGCAGUUCGAUCUUCAAAUCCUGCAGUUCGAUCUUCAAAUCCAAUUACUACAUAGCAUUACUGCGUAUUGAACUAUCUUUUCUGUGAAAUUUGUUGUAUAACAUGAUGUUUUGGUGCUUUUAGGCACUACAUCCAGUGUGCCGAUCACCACUGGGACCACCUUGACUGGCUUGUGCCAGAGUCUUUGCAGUUCGAUCUUCAAAUCCUGCAGUUCGAUCUUCAAAUCCAAUUACUACAUAGCAUUACUGCGUAUUGAACUAUCUUUUCUGUGAAAUUUGUUGUAUAACAUGAUGUUUUGGUGCUUUUAGGCACUACAUCCAGUGUGCCGAUCACCACUGGGACCACCUUGACUGGCUUGUGCCAGAGACUUUGCAGUUCGAUCUUCAAAUCCUGCAGUUCGAUCUUCAAAUCCAAUUACUACAUAGCAUUACUGCGUAUUGAACUACCUUUUCUGUCAAAUUUGUUGUAUAACAUGAUGUUUUGGUGCUUUUAGGCACUACAUCCAGUGUGCCAAUCACCACUGGGACCACCUUGACUGGCUUGUGCCAGAGUCUUUGCAGUUCGAUCUUCAAAUCCUGCAGUUCGAUCUUCAAAUCCAAUUACUACAUAGCAUUACUGCGUAUUGAACUAUCUUUUCUGUGAAAUUUGUUGUAUAACAUGAUGUUUUGGUGCUUUUAGGCACUACAUCCAGUGUGCCGAUCACCACUGGGACCACCUUGACUGGCUUGUGCCAGAGUCUUUGCAGUUCGAUCUUCAAAUCCUGCAGUUCGAUCUUCAAAUCCAAUUACUACAUAGCAUUACUGCGUAUUGAACUAUCUUUUCUGUGAAAUUUGUUGUAUAACAUGAUGUUUUGGUGCUUUUAGGCACUACAUCCAGUGUGCCGAUCACCACUGGGACCACCUUGACUGGCUUGUGCCAGAGACUUUGCAGUUCGAUCUUCAAAUCCUGCAGUUCGAUCUUCAAAUCCAAUUACUACAUAGCAUUACUGCGUAUUGAACUACCUUUUCUGUCAAAUUUGUUGUAUAACAUGAUGUUUUGGUGCUUUUAGGCACUACAUCCAGUGUGCCAAUCACCACUGGGACCACCUUGACUGGCUUGUGCCAGAGUCUUUGCAGUUCGAUCUUCAAAUCCUGCAGUUCGAUCUUCAAAUCCAAUUACUACAUAGCAUUACUGCGUAUUGAACUACCUUUUCUGUCAAAUUUGUUGUAUAACAUGAUGUUUUGGUGCUUUUAGGCACUACAUCCAGUGUGCUGAUCACCACUGGGACCACCUUGACUGGCUUGUGCCAGAGUCUUUGCAGUUCGAUCUUCAAAUCCUCGUAUCGUCAAUUGAAGCAAGCUGAGGACAAAGGAGGACAGAGAGAAACCGGGAUGUUAUAAAGACAGCUGAAAAAGUGGGAUGGCAGAGGAUUAAUCAAGACUGUCCAGGACAAAUGAGGAAUGCCAGCAUGGAUACCGAAUGCUCAGCCUCAAAUUCAAUAGCAGGAAAGUGCUUCAAGCACCAUUUUGAUUUUCCUUUCUAACAGCCUCUCCUGUUCCCUAAUGUCCUUUUCAGGACAAAGUGAAUGAUGAUACACUUCAUCUCUUAUUAAUGGGCUUCUGCUUAGUGGAAAAUGCCAUGAUGUCCGCAUUGUCCUAUAUAGGCUUCUUCCUCUGUGGCUUCGGGGGGUCGAGUAUCCAAUGUCUGGCCUUCCUUUACAAUGGCUUGAAACGCUACUCCUGUAAAAGGGGAAAAGGCUGGAUGGGAAUCUGGAGUGGCAGAUGGCAGAGAGGGGAGCAAACUGCCCCAGGGCCCGGGAAACAUAAGAUACCCUGUGAGCGAGAAGAAAGGAAAGGGCCGUGGAAGAUCUCUUUCUAAAGCCACACAAUGCGGCUUGACUUUCCCUUGAGAGCUACACUCAGGUUGUGCAGAGAAGACAGGCUCCCAUUUGAUUUUGUUAAGGUUACAGUAAAAACUGUUUGGAGGAAGAAAACAAAAUGUUAGAGAUGGGUUGAAAUGGCUGGAACCCCCAAAAUAAAGUAACAAUAGAGAUGUUACAAUAGAAAUGGCCCCAAAGAGAAAGCCGUGCUCCGCAUCGUAAUAUUUUGACUGCAAAAUUUGCAAAAUUUGGUAGGAUGUCAGUGGCAGAGGUCCAUGAACUUGUUUUGAGAUGUAGUCCAUACUUUGAAGGAGGUUCCAAGGUAUCGAGAUAGGAUUGAUAGGCCUUUUAGAGGCAUAAAUAUGGGGUGGAUUAACUCCCCAUUUGAAGUGACAGCUACGUUCUGACAAUGAGAGAUGCAGCAUCAAUGGAGAAAAAAAAUAUUAAAAUAUUCCUUUGUUUUGUAGCUUUCCUCCAUCACAGAACCAUGGAGCUUGAAUGGGACUUGUAGACCAUCAAGUCCAAGUUCUGCUCAGUGAAGGAUCUUCAGUUGGAGCACUGUCUCCAAACUCUGAUCAAUGGAGAAAAAAAUAUUAAAAUAUUCCUUUGUUUUGUAGCUUUCCUCCAUCACAGAACCAUGGAGUUCGAAUGGGACCAGUAGACCAUCAAGUCCAAGUCCUGCUCAGUGAAGGAUAUUCAAUUGGAGCACUGUCUCCAAACUCUGAUCAAUGGAGAAAAAAACAUUAAAAUAUUCUGUUGCCUUGUUUUGCAGCUUUCCUCCAUCACAGAACCAUGGAGCUUGAAUGGGACCUGUAGACCAUCAAGACCAAGUCCUGCUCAGUGAAGGAUCUUCCAUUGGAGCACUGUUUCCAAACUCUGGUCUUCCAGAUUUUGGACCUCAGUUCCCAGAAUCCCAAAACACAUGAAAAACUAGAGUUUGGGGAUCCCUGAACAAGAACAUCCCCAGCCUCUUUGAGAAGAUCUCCAGAGAAGAAGACCUCAACACCUCCCGCGACCUUUGCUUCCAUUGCUGAACUGCUCUCACUGUCAAGAAGAACAUGUCCAUCUCCGUCAACUUUUCCUGAUAUGUUUUGUUCUCCAUAUCUUUCCUUGUCGUUUUUCUCUCAACCCACUCCAACUUCUCCAUACCCUUCUUGACACCAUGUCCGUUUUCCAAGGAAAGUGUGUUCGCCACCCAACCCAACACACUUCUGCUCUUGCUGCUAAGCUUCAGCGCACCACGGAGGGCUCUGGACAUCCAGGAUGGACCAAGCCGUCCCUCGCCCGGGUUUCCGAGGUCACUGGGACCGUUUCCUUUCCGCCAGCCCAUCCUUAGGAGACAACGGCCAAGGCUUUCAAUAACAUUUCCUUGGAAAAAUAAUCCAUCCCUACUCCUGUGUUUGGAAAACCAGGCCAGAGCACAGAACAGGAAGAAGUUAAUUACUGUCCAGGGGAGGCAAGAAAGGGGGGGAGCGGGGUGUGUGUUUUCCCGAAUUGUUUGAGAUGUUUAAUUUCCUUGAAAGAGGAAAAGAGUUCUGAUCUCUGCUGGAUUCCCUCCCUGUUUAUACAGAGGGUUUCUAUUAGCAAAGUCAACAUCCAAAGAUCCCGAUGGCCAGAACUGGACUCUUCUUUUUCUGACCAAACAGGAUCCUUCCUCAAGGGAGGGGUGUGAUGAUGUGCCAUCCCUCCGGUUGUACAUCUACUUCCAUGAAAGUCAUGGCUUGGAUUUGAGAAAGUGGCUUUGCAGACCUGGAAAGGCAGAGGCAUCUUUUGCAUCGUGCUUGCAUUUGGAUUUCUGAAGGUGUUCCUCACCAAGACUAGGUGAUGAAAAUGAACAUUGGGUUGUACUGGAACACCACAAAAAUUCUGGCUGCGUUUGGAGAUGUACCUAUAUCACAUAAUUAUAGCCCGCGUCGGAUACCGGAUCAAAAAGUGGGAUAUAUCCGAUUUUAAUCCGAUUUAAGAUUCUUUACGAUUUUUUUGACCAUGCCUAAUAAUUACAUACCCAUAGCCAUGGCUCCUCAUACUAAAGUCCCCCCAAGCUCAACUUGUCAGCUUGAAAGACCCUCAUAACCUCCUCCACAUUGUUGGAGUAAGGAGAAAUUUUGCGCACUCUCUGGGCGCAUAACCUUUUGGGAAAAAUAGCAAUCAUAAUCUUAUUGAAAAGGAAAAAUGGUGUCAUAUCAGUUUGGCAAAUACUCAGGCUCAGGUAGUGGUGGGAGCACUGGACUGAUUCUCCAAAUGACAAGAGUUCAGAUACUUCAUCGGCCAUCAAAACCUACGGGAUGACCUUAGGCAAGUCACACUUUCUCGGCCUCCGAGGAUGGUGAUGUAGGGACCAUAAGCCAGAAAAUAGUAAACUAUUGCCUAUGUAGGCUUGUUGUAUGUUUCUGGAACAUGGCCACACAGCCCGAAAGACAUAUAACAACCCUGUGAUCCUGGCCAUGAAAGCCUUCGACAACAUAUUGCCUAUGUAGCUUUGCCCGUGCAUAUGUCCCUCCCUUCCUGUGUGCUGGUGCUUUUCUCCAGAAUGUUCCAAGACCAAAAGUUAGCUUGAAAUCAACAAGUGAGGUCACAGGUAUCACUUAUGCUAAAGUGAUACAACAACCCUGUGAUCCCGGCCAUGAAAGCCUUCGACAACAUAUUGCCUAUGUAGCUUUGCCUGUGCAUAUGCCCCUCCCUUCCUGUGAGCUGGUGCCUUUCUCCAGAAUGUUUCAAGACCAAAAUUUAGCUUGAAAUCAACAAGUGAGGCCACAGGCAUCACUUAUGCCAAAGUGAUACAACAACCCUGUGAUCCCGGCCAUGAAAGCCUUUGACAACAUAUUGCCUAUGUAGCUUUGCCUGUGCAUAUGCCCCUCCCUUCCUGUGAGCUGGUGCCUUUCACCAGAAUGUUUCAAGACCAAAAGUUAGCUUGAAAUCAACAAGUGAGGUCCCAGGUAUCACUUAUGCCAAAAUGGGUGUGGAAGGUGAGGAAGAUCCUCAGCCAUUGGUCAAUUGUAGAUAAGCUGAGAUAUAAAUUCUUUGUUUGCUAUGCAUAUGUUGUGACGGCCAUUUGCAUGGUACGGACCCACUGAUUUGGGAACCUACGGCUGUUUUGCUUUAUCUACAGCUGUGAUAAUAAUAAAAGGCUUGUUUUAUUGCU